UCUCCGUUGGUGAACCAGCGGAGGGAUCAUUACAGGACUCGCAAGACUCCUUCACCCUGUGAACCUCACUACAAGCACGUUGCUUCGGCGGGUGUCCCGGCGGGGGUUUUCCCUCGCCGGGGCGCACAGCCCGCCGGCAGCCUACUAUAUUCUGUCUCUUUGCGUUGGCAUCUCGAGAAAAAACAAACAAGUUAAAACUUUCAACAACGGAUCUCUUGGUUCUG
This 224-nucleotide unclassified non-coding RNA is filed under the name plant metagenome. RNAcentral's name for it is "partial contains small subunit ribosomal RNA, internal transcribed spacer 1, and 5.8S ribosomal RNA". The record is from RNAcentral.